GGGUAUGUGGCUCAAGAGGUAAAGCAUCUGCCUGGCAAGCAUAAGGUCCUGAGUUCAAGCCCCAGUACUACUU
Molecule: transfer RNA, 73 nt
Filed under: Dipodomys ordii (Ord's kangaroo rat)
Lineage: Eukaryota; Metazoa; Chordata; Mammalia; Rodentia; Heteromyidae
Rfam family: tRNA
About the family: Transfer RNA (tRNA) molecules are approximately 80 nucleotides in length. Their secondary structure includes four short double-helical elements and three loops (D, anti-codon, and T loops).
Source: Rfam by way of RNAcentral